This 164-nucleotide ribosomal RNA is filed under the name uncultured bacterium. Its description in RNAcentral is "partial 16S ribosomal RNA". It matches the Rfam family "Bacterial small subunit ribosomal RNA", at positions 355 to 511 of the family's 1533-position model. The record is from RNAcentral.
UAGGGAAUCUUCCACAAUGGACGAAAGUCUGAUGGAGCAACGCCGCGUGAGUGAAGAAGGGUUUCGGCUCGUAAAACUCUGUUGUUAAAGAAGAACAUAUCUGAGAGUAACUGUUCAGGUAUUGACGGUGUUUAACCAGAAAGCCACGGCUAACUACGUGCUAG